GCUAGUGGUGAAAUUGGUAAACACAGUCUCUUGCCAAGGGACCGUUCUUCGGAACAUACGGGUUCGAGUCCCGUCUAGCA
Molecule: transfer RNA, 80 nt
Filed under: Photobacterium damselae
Lineage: Bacteria; Pseudomonadati; Pseudomonadota; Gammaproteobacteria; Vibrionales; Vibrionaceae
Also listed under: 1 other name
Description: tRNA-Gly
Rfam family: tRNA
About the family: Transfer RNA (tRNA) molecules are approximately 80 nucleotides in length. Their secondary structure includes four short double-helical elements and three loops (D, anti-codon, and T loops).
Source: RNAcentral